UUUCUCUUCUGCUCUAUGGGAAAUAGGUAGAAGCUUUUAAGCAGCAUCACAGAAGCAUAGGUGGGUAGUCCUCUCUGCACAGAAACUAUCGUGUGUGUUAAUUACUAUAUGAGACUUUUGUUUUUGAGCUUUAGCUUGAUAGAUUCUGGACAAAGUAGCAGCUUACAAUUUUACAAUUUCAUGUGUUUGGUCUCUACAUGUGGAGACCAUCAAUUUUGAUCACAAGAUUAUAUCCAAAUUAAUGUAUGUUGGUUUUUGUUUUUUUUUUUGUUAUUUUUUUACAUUUAUUCCACUAAUUGUCACUGUGCAUUUUGGUCUCUCAGAAGAACUCUUAAAAUUGCUGACUUUCCCUUGAUGUACUUGGAAAACAUCGUUUAUAUUGUCAUUCCCUCCACCACUUAAAUUUCUUAUAUUCGUGAUCUAUUACAUCUGAACUAUUCCUCUGUGGUUGGAACCUGAUAAGCAGUAGUUUCACAAGACAGCCUGCAGCUAAGAGUUGAUGUUCCCAGGCAGCCUUCACCUGCUGGCAAGAGUUAUUCUCUACCACAACAAUUGAUCAGAGAAAGAGAUGUACAUAAUGACCUGCUUAGUGUACAUCAAACCUGAAAUUGUAGUUAUUAUAGUGCUCACAGUCACUAUGCUAGUUAGAGCUAAGCCUACUCUGAGCUAGCAGUGUAAUUGAUGUUAUAUGGUGGUGCUAAGGAUUUCUUUGUGUUGGUAUUUUGCUGCAGUUUCUCUGUUUCAUUUAGUGACACUAUUUUCAAAGCACAUGUGAAAAAACAUCUUGGAUGUGAAUUGUAAUUUUAUCAUAGCUCACUAGCAUUUAAUGUCUCUGAAAAUUCGUAGGUGUCAAUAUUGGCCAGUAUUGCAUGGAGCGUUGUGCAAUAUUCCAGACUGAACUGACUGAGGAGUGGGAGGUUUCUGGUGAUUUCCAAUUCUGCCAGUGGUUCCGACAACAUUGCAGCUCAUCAGCUCAUACAAUUGAAGACAAUACCUGCUUUCCUCACAAAUAA
RNAcentral lists this long non-coding RNA (1013 nucleotides) under Meleagris gallopavo (turkey). Its description in RNAcentral is "lncRNA (ENSMGAG00000017707.1)". Lineage: Eukaryota; Metazoa; Chordata; Aves; Galliformes; Phasianidae. The record is from RNAcentral.